GAUGAACGCUGGCGGCAUACUUAACACAUGCAAGUCGAACGGGAAGUGGUGUUUCCAGUGGCGAACGGGUGAGUAACGCGUAAGAACCUGCCCUUGGGAGGGGAACAACAACUGGAAACGGUUGCUAAUACCCCGUAGGCUGAGGAGCAAAAGGAGAAAUCCGCCCAAGGAGGGGCUCGCGUCUGAUUAGCUAGUUGGUGAGGUAAUAGCUUACCAAGGCGAUGAUCAGUAGCUGGUCCGAGAGGAUGAUCAGCCACACUGGGACUGAGACACGGCCCAGACUCCUACGGGAGGCAGCAGUGGGGAAUUUUCCGCAAUGGGCGAAAGCCUGACGGAGCAAUGCCGCGUGGAGGUGGAAGGCCUACGGGUCGUCAACUUCUUUUCUCGGAGAAGAAACAAUGACGGUAUCUGAGGAAUAAGCAUCGGCUAACUCUGUG
RNAcentral lists this ribosomal RNA (437 nucleotides) under uncultured bacterium. RNAcentral describes it as "partial 16S ribosomal RNA". It matches the Rfam family "Bacterial small subunit ribosomal RNA", at positions 28 to 507 of the family's 1533-position model. The record is from RNAcentral.